UUUCCUUUUUUUUUUUUUUUUUUUUUUUUUUUAAGUAACCUACACAAGCUGUUUAUCCAGUGUGUAUUUCCAAAGUCACCCAAAAACAUGUCUCAGAACUAUGAGCAGCUUCUUGCUCACAUCCUCAGACUUGACUUCAAUUUACCAGUCAUGUCAUUGAGACCCAAGUCAAUGCCAAGGAGUCUGUGGCCCUUUUUGAGUAGUGUUACAAAAUGAGACAAUGGUUCAAUGUGCAAUAUGCCUGACGUCAAAUCCUGCCCAUCCAGGGAGCCUGUGCCCAGGUUAUUGAGAAACAACAAAUGCUUGAUGUCUAAAAAGAAAUGGAUCAAAGCAUUGUCCCCUCCUCGUUUUGACCAGCAUCUGUAUCCUAAUGGUAUGUUUGCCAAGCAUGGUUUUGUCCUCAGAUACAGCUUGGUUGGUCUAUUUGUUGGAAGCCGUUCUCCCAUCUGCUUUCAGUGCUGUUUAUCAUCCCUCUUAAACCUAAACCAUUGAUGUGGUCACAUUAUAUGUACCAAUAUCAAAUAAAAAAUUAAUAGCAAUGUGUAUUCCUUGAAAUACUCAGAGAUUGUAUUAUACUUAUAGCUAUACCAAGGUACCUGAGGUUGUUACUGCUGUCUUAGCAUCUAUGGCUUAUUAUUGGAACCUUGAUAUACACACAUGUAUGUAUAUUGGUAUGCAUUUGAGUUUGUCCGCCCCAACUUGCAUUCCCACACAAUUGCCAUUUUUAAGUUCAAGGGAGCAAUGUACAAGCAGAGAAGUGUCUUAUUAUAAUAAAAAGUAUACAGAGAAAAAGUUAAAUAAAAAUCUUUUGUUUUAAUGGAA
Carassius carassius (crucian carp) is the source of this 822-nucleotide long non-coding RNA. RefSeq lists it as uncharacterized. The transcript has 2 exons. The record is from RefSeq and is a predicted model, not a curated record. Lineage: Eukaryota; Metazoa; Chordata; Actinopteri; Cypriniformes; Cyprinidae.